Molecule: unclassified non-coding RNA, 245 nt
Filed under: Hevea brasiliensis (rubber tree)
Lineage: Eukaryota; Viridiplantae; Streptophyta; Magnoliopsida; Malpighiales; Euphorbiaceae
Source: RNAcentral
UCCCGGGUGAAGAGGUGUACUGAUGAAGGACGAGCUCUUAUGUCAUUAGAUCUUCAGGUAUUGAUAAAUGGCUUGAAGCAUUUCAUUUCUGUAGACGUGAGACCUAAACUACAGAUAGUUGAAACAUUCAUCAAGGCCUACUAUCUUCCAGAAACCGAAUUUGUGCACUGGUCACGUGCUCAUCCGGAAUACAGUAAAAGUCAAAUUGUUGGUCUAAUCAACCUAGUCUCUACAAUGAAAGGCUG